CUAAGGAAAAAGGAAGCACGUUUAGCGUCUUAUUUAGUUUUGAGAGGUCUUGUGGGGCCUUAGCUCAGCUGGGAGAGCGCCUGCUUUGCACGCAGGAGGUCAGCGGUUCGAUCCCGCUAGGCUCCAUUAAAACAGGAUACUAACAGACGGUUCGGUUUACCGAAAACUUCUGUAGAAAAAUAGGAAAUCGACGCUGUGUGUUUAGCACACAAGGAGAUUUAUCUUUUUUCCUAAGAAGUUAGUCUGGUGUUCAACUUUGUAGAUCUUGUUUUAAUUGAUAUUAGCAUACAACUUUAAUAUCAAAACCUUGUCCAUUGAAAAUUGAAUAACUAUAUCAUAUUCCGCAAUCAAAAAAGAUUGUAAGAAAGUAACAAGAAAUAAACCGAAACGCUGUGAUAACGAGUUUAAGAAAAAAUAA
RNAcentral lists this transfer RNA (418 nucleotides) under Streptococcus equi subsp. zooepidemicus. Its description in RNAcentral is "partial 16S-23S ribosomal RNA intergenic spacer". The stretch from base 54 to 126 matches the Rfam family "tRNA". The record is from RNAcentral. Lineage: Bacteria; Bacillati; Bacillota; Bacilli; Lactobacillales; Streptococcaceae.